GAUGAACGCUGGCGGCGUGCUUAACACAUGCAAGUCGAACGAGAAAUGGAGACGGAAACCUUCGGGCGGAAGGCUUCAUUUCGAGUGGCGGACGGGUGAGUAACGCGUGGGUAACCUGCCUCAUACAGGGGGAUAACAGUUGGAAACGACUGUUAAUACCGCAUAAGACCACAGCACCGCAUGGUGCGGGGGUAAAAACUCCGGUGGUAUGAGAUGGACCCGCGUUCGAUUAGCCAGUUGGCGGGGUAACGGCCCACCAAAGCGACGAUCGGAAGCCGAUCUGAGAGGAUGCCCGGCCCCAUGGGGACUGGGACCCGGCCCAAACUCCAGCGGGAGGCAGCAGUGGGGAAUAUUGAACAAGGGGGGAACCCCGGAGGCAGCGGCGCCGGGGGAGUGAAGAAGUACUUCGGUAUGAAAAGCUCUAACAGCAGGGAAGAAAAUGCCGGUACCGGAGAAAAAAGCCCGGCCUAACUACGG
RNAcentral lists this ribosomal RNA (477 nucleotides) under uncultured bacterium. Its description in RNAcentral is "partial 16S ribosomal RNA". It matches the Rfam family "Bacterial small subunit ribosomal RNA", at positions 28 to 506 of the family's 1533-position model. The record is from RNAcentral.